UUUUUUUUUUUUUUUUUUUUAUUUAUUUAUGAUAGUCACACAGAGAGAGAGAGAGAGAGAGGCAGAGACAUAGGCAGAGGGAGAAGCAGGCUCCAUGCACCGGGAGCCCGACGUGGGAUUCGAUCCCGGGUCUCCAGGAUCGCGCCCUGGGCCAAAGGCAGGCGCUAAACCACUGCGCCACCCAGGGAUCCCGUCUUUUUACAUUCUUAAUAAUACUUUUGAUUCUCCCAAAUUUUAAUCCUUUGAAAUCCAGUUGAUCUAUUUUUUUCUUUGUUGCUUGUGCUUUUGGUAUCAUAUUUAAGAAUCCAUUGCCAAAUCCAAGGUCAUGAAGAUUUAGCACUAUAUUUCUUCUAAGAGUUCUAUUAAUUCAUUUAUGUUUAGAUUUUGAUACAUUUUUUCAAGAUUUUAUUUUUGAGGAAUCUCUACACCCAGCAUGGGGCUCAAACUCACAACUCUGAGAUCAAGAGUCUCAUGCUCUAUCGACUGAGCCGGCCAGGUGCCCCAAUGCAUUUUUUUUUUUAAAGAUUUUGUUUAUUUAUUCAUAGAGACACACACAGAGAGAGAGAGAGAGGCAGAGACACAGGCAGAGACACAGGCAGAGGGAGAAGCAGGCCCCCUACAGGAAGCCCGCCGUGGGACUCGAACCCGGGUCUCCAGGAUCACACCCCAGGCUGCAGUCAGUGCUAAAUCGCUGCGACACCGGGGCUGCCUACCCCAAUGCAUUUUGAAUUAAUUUUCAGAUACAUUACAAGGUAGGGGUCCAACUUAAUUCUUUUGCAUAUAGAUAUCCAAUUUCCCCAGAACCAUUUGUUGAAGAAACUCUUCUUUCUCCCACUGAAUGAAUGGUGUUGGUGUUCUUGUCAAAACUCAGUUGGCCAUGGAUGUGUAUGUUUAAUUUCUGUGCUAUUAAUUCUGGGCCAGUGGGUCUGUAUGUUUGCUCUCACACCAGUGCCACACAGUCUUGAUUGCUGUAGCUUUGUAGUAAGUUUUGAAAUUGGGAAGCCUGAGUCCUCUAACUGUGUUCUUCUUUUUAAAUAUUAUUUUGUUUAUUCGGGGCCACUGGUAAUUCCACAUAAAUUUGAGGAUUUUCUAUUUCUGUAAAAAAAAAGCUGUUGGAAUUUUUUUUUAAGAUUUUAUUUAUAUAUUCAUGAGAGACACAGAGAGAGAGAGAAAGAGAGAGAGAAGCAGAGACAUAGGCAGAGGGAGAAGAACGUUGCAUGCAGGAAGCCUGAUGUGGGACUCGAUCCUGGGACUCCGGGAUCACACUCUGAGCCAAAAGAUGCUCAACCGCUGAGGCACCUAGGCGUCCCAAGGUGUUGGAAUUUUGAGUGAAUCUGUACACCACUUUGGGUAGUGUUACCAUCUUAAAACUACUAAGUCUUAAAAUUCAAGAGCGUUGGAUGUUGUAACAUUUAUUGAGGUCAUAUUUAAUGUUUUUUAGCAGUGCUUUGUAGUUUUCAGUGUAUAGGUCUUUCACCUCCUUGGUUUAGUUUAUUCAUUGGUAUUUUGUUCUCUUAGAUGCUAUUGUAAGUGAAAUUGUUUUCUUAAUUUCCUUUUUUUGGAUUGUUCAUUGUUGGUGUAUAGAACACAGCUGAUUUUGUGUGUGUGUGUGUGCAUGUAUGUUCAUCUUGUACUCUGCAGCUUUGCUGAAUUUGUUUAUUAGUGCUAGUCAGGGCUUUUUUUUUUUUUCCUUUCUUUUUUUUCUUUUUGAUCUUUGGAAUUUUCUAUCUUUUGGAUCAUGUCAUCUGCAAAUGGAGAUAGUUUUACUUUCCAAUUUGGAUGUCCCUUCCUUCCUUUCUUCGUCUUUCCCUCCUCCUCCCUCACUCUCCCUCCCUCCCUGUGUCCCUCUCUUUUUCUUUCUCUUUCAUUUUCUUUUUUCUCUCUCUCUCUCCACCUCUUUUUCUCCUUUUCUUUUCUUUUUUUUCCUUUCCUUACCUAAUUUCUCUGGCUAGAACUACCAGUGGUGAAAGCAGUUCUUCUUGUCUUCUUCCUGCACUUAGGAGGAAAGUUUUUAGUCUUUCACCAUUUAGUUUGAUGUUGGCUGUGGGUUUUUCAGAAUUCCACUUUCAUGUUGAGGAAGUUCCCCUAUAUUUUUAGUUUUCUGAAUUUUUUUUAUUAUGAAAGAGUGGUGGAUUUGGUCAAAUAUUACUUCUGUGUCAGUUGAGAUACUAAUGUGAUUCCCCCCCUUCAUUCUACUAAUGUAAUAUAUCAGUUGACUUUCUUAUGUUAAACUAUCUAUUUAUUCUUAAAAUUUAAUUGCCUUCUCCAGUAAGCUUUUUCUUACAUUCCCAAAUUGAGUAAAACAUCAGUUCUUUCACUGUGCUAACUUUAAAAUGUUACAUUUCUUUUUUUUUUUUUUAAGAUUUUAUUUAUUUAUU
Molecule: long non-coding RNA, 2378 nt
Filed under: Canis lupus familiaris (dog)
Lineage: Eukaryota; Metazoa; Chordata; Mammalia; Carnivora; Canidae
Description: lncRNA (ENSCAFG00845028364.1)
Source: RNAcentral